This 465-nucleotide ribosomal RNA is filed under the name uncultured bacterium. RNAcentral's name for it is "partial 16S ribosomal RNA". It matches the Rfam family "Bacterial small subunit ribosomal RNA", at positions 28 to 507 of the family's 1533-position model. The record is from RNAcentral.
GACGAACGCUGGCGGCGUGCUUAACACAUGCAAGUCGUACGGUAAGGCCCUUUCGGGGGUACACGAGUGGCGAACGGGUGAGUAACACGUGAGUAACCUGCCCACAACUUUGGGAUAACGCUAGGAAACUGGUGCUAAUACUGGAUAUGUGCUCCUGCUGCAUGGUGGGGGUUGGAAAGCUCCGGCGGUUGUGGAUGGACUCGCGGCCUAUCAGCUUGUUGGUGGGGUAGUGGCCUACCAAGGCGGCGACGGGUAGCCGGCCUGAGAGGGUGACCGGCCACAUUGGGACUGAGAGACGGCCCAGACUCCUACGGGAGGCAGCAGUGGGGAAUAUUGCACAAUGGGCGCAAGCCUGAUGCAGCAACGCCGCGGGCGGGAGGACGGCCUUCGGGUUGGAAACCGCGUUCAGCAGGGACGAAGCUUUUUGUGACGGUACCUGCAGAAGAAGCACCGGCUAACUACGUG